UGACCCAGAAGUCGUGUUGUAACUGCUACACCGAAGAUUAAACAGUAAAUAUUAGUGCUACUGUAUCUGCCGUCUUUAUCCUCUAGCAACUGUUUUACAUCUUCUUUUCUGUUACCUUGUAGAAGAGCUUCAAGUAAAAUCCUGCUGCUUUAGAAGCAGUGAUAUAAUCAGUGCUCUCAGAGUGGAAAAAAAAAAACCUGGCGUGUUCUGGCUUGCAUUUUUUGAAGAGAGAAAACAAUUGGUCCAUUGCUGAAAAGUUGUGCCACUCGGUGCAGCCCCCAUGAUGUGUGACCUGCGGCGUUGGAGAUGCAGGGCACAUCCCCUCCCUCCUCUGCAACCGCAGGAUGGAGACGCGAGGUUCUUUCUGCCCUCCCUGAAAUAAGCGAGUUCUGUUCACCGGCCAAGAACGUACCAGUAAAUAUAAGGAUUGUGUAAGUUGCUUGCAAUGCCCAAAGUAUAAACAAACUUGUGCCCUCGGAAAGGUGAGUUUCUGGCGGGUUUCCAGGGGAGUUCCCUCGGCGCUGCAGAGCUGAGGCGUUCCUCUUGAAGGUAAAAGACAAAUUUUAGAUAUUUACGCAAGACAGAAAGAGGAAAGGUGCAGUACGGAGGGAUACAAAAUGAGGUGUCUGCUGGUGGUGCUGGUGGUGGUGGUGCUUUUCACACUGACCUGUGGCUCUAGAUUUAUUUCCUCGCUCAGCAGUAUCGAAGGGCUCCGCUUUCAAACCGUGUCAGCACGAGUGACAAGUGCACGAAUGGAAUAUUCCUGUGGAAUAUCGUGGAAUCAGAUCUAACAUUUCUCCUGUGAAACGUAUGGAUGAAGUCAGGUGUUCCUUUAUCCGUGAGCUGAGAGGAAGAACAAGACAGAGAGGGAGGGAGGCAGAAGAGAUAUCGCCAAUUACUCUGUUGCAAGGCAUCAAGGUGCUACUGUGGUAUUUCUGACCGUGUCCCAGAUUGUCACACCUGGGUGCUCCUUGCACGUGCGGAGCCAGGAAAUAAUGGUGACGGGUCACUCCUUCUCCCCAGUCCACAGGAGGAACAAGUCGUUCCGUACCUGCUCUGCAGAAUCCGCCUGGAAGGAAAGCUGAACGGAGCCGGGAAAGCCAGCGCCUCCUCGCCUGCUUCCUCGGCAGGUGAACUCUGCGACCGCAGCGGCGUUUCCCUCCCUCCCUCCCUCCCUCCUUGCCUCCCCCGGGGGCUGCGCGCUGGGAAGUUCCAGUGAAAUAUAGCCGCUGUGGAAAGUCCUGCUCACAGCGUUGGAGACGUGACCUCUCGGCGAGUCAGAUCCAAUUUUACGGGCGGCUCUGAGUCAGGGUGGAGCCCAAGGACUGAACUUUGUACGCGAGGAGGAAGUGAAGCCGGUGGCAGCUUGUGUUACUAAGCAGAUGAGUUGCCGUAUUUUUAUGUCAGCUGAUAGUUCCGUGGGGCGUGUGACUUCGUUCUUCAUAGAUACGAUGCCUUCCAUUUAUUAAGGACAAAGGUCAGAAAUUGCCAGCCCCGCGAUAGCUGUGUCGCUCCCGAUAAGAAGAGGCAUGUCCUGCCGAGCCGUCGAAGAUGGAAAGGGGAGUCCUUCCGUGCUGCUUCUGCGCGGUGAAAACAAAACCGACCGUGAAACUGUCAGUUCGCGUUCACGCUCCAGGAGCAAACGUCCUCACAAGCAGGGAUGUUGUGGAGUAGGUCAGCUCCUCCAGAGCUCACCCACUGCCCCCGAUUAAAGAGGUGGCCUGUCGAACCGGGUGUUCUUCUCCCCGGUGGUAACGGGAACCGGAGGGGCUGAGGUGAGCAGCCGGGCACCGGUCUGUUAAAUCAGAAUUGAGGUGGAAAACUGAGCAAUCCCGCCCCUUUGGUAAAUGAAGCCCUGAGUCUAUUUGGGAAGGAGAGCGAGUCGUUUAUCACCUCUGUGCUGCUGGCACCUCGGUGGGUGCCACCUUCCAGCUGUCCAGAUCGUCACGGGCAAGUGGCAGUACCCGGGCAGCGUUUCUGAGAGGCUUAAGGGGGCAGGUUGGGCCCACAACUGGGUCCGUACCCGUGCAACCCACAGUGACGAGUCCCGCUGCGCUGUCUGCGAUGGCACCUCCACCUCUCCCCCCCUUAAAGUCUGCAGUUAGCCUUGAGAGCACCGCGGCUUUGUUAUCCUUGUUCUGAGAGAUACCACUGUAUCGGAAAACUUUCUCCAGAAAAGAAUGAAUUUUGAGAAUGGUAUUAAUUCUCGGUGUUCUCAG
Molecule: long non-coding RNA, 2219 nt
Organism: Calidris pygmaea (Spoon-billed sandpiper)
Lineage: Eukaryota; Metazoa; Chordata; Aves; Charadriiformes; Scolopacidae
Source: Ensembl